AAAAAAGAACACGGGGACCGGAUUUGGUGGGUGACAGUGUGAAUUUGGUUGUUCAUUUAUUUUGUCCAUGUUAUUUUUUUCUUUUUGUUCAUUUCGAUGUUUUUA
Molecule: non-coding RNA, 105 nt
Filed under: Chattonella subsalsa
Lineage: Eukaryota; Raphidophyceae; Chattonellales; Chattonellaceae
Source: RNAcentral